RNAcentral lists this ribosomal RNA (1402 nucleotides) under Enterococcus durans. RNAcentral's name for it is "bacterial SSU rRNA". It matches the Rfam family "Bacterial small subunit ribosomal RNA", at positions 59 to 1434 of the family's 1533-position model. The record is from RNAcentral. Lineage: Bacteria; Bacillati; Bacillota; Bacilli; Lactobacillales; Enterococcaceae.
CAGUCGUACGCUUCUUUUUCCCCGGAGCUUGCUCCACCGGAAAAAGAAGAGUGGCGAACGGGUGAGUAACACGUGGGUAACCUGCCCAUCAGAAGGGGAUAACACUUGGAAACAGGUGCUAAUACCGUAUAACAAUCGAAACCGCAUGGUUUUGAUUUGAAAGGCGCUUUCGGGUGUCGCUGAUGGAUGGACCCGCGGUGCAUUAGCUAGUUGGUGAGGUAACGGCUCACCAAGGCCACGAUGCAUAGCCGACCUGAGAGGGUGAUCGGCCACAUUGGGACUGAGACACGGCCCAAACUCCUACGGGAGGCAGCAGUAGGGAAUCUUCGGCAAUGGACGAAAGUCUGACCGAGCAACGCCGCGUGAGUGAAGAAGGUUUUCGGAUCGUAAAACUCUGUUGUUAGAGAAGAACAAGGAUGAGAGUAACUGUUCAUCCCUUGACGGUAUCUAACCAGAAAGCCACGGCUAACUACGUGCCAGCAGCCGCGGUAAUACGUAGGUGGCAAGCGUUGUCCGGAUUUAUUGGGCGUAAAGCGAGCGCAGGCGGUUUCUUAAGUCUGAUGUGAAAGCCCCCGGCUCAACCGGGGAGGGUCAUUGGAAACUGGGAGACUUGAGUGCAGAAGAGGAGAGUGGAAUUCCAUGUGUAGCGGUGAAAUGCGUAGAUAUAUGGAGGAACACCAGUGGCGAAGGCGGCUCUCUGGUCUGUAACUGACGCUGAGGCUCGAAAGCGUGGGGAGCAAACAGGAUUAGAUACCCUGGUAGUCCACGCCGUAAACGAUGAGUGCUAAGUGUUGGAGGGUUUCCGCCCUUCAGUGCUGCAGCUAACGCAUUAAGCACUCCGCCUGGGGAGUACGACCGCAAGGUUGAAACUCAAAGGAAUUGACGGGGGCCCGCACAAGCGGUGGAGCAUGUGGUUUAAUUCGAAGCAACGCGAAGAACCUUACCAGGUCUUGACAUCCUUUGACCACUCUAGAGAUAGAGCUUCCCCUUCGGGGGCAAAGUGACAGGUGGUGCAUGGUUGUCGUCAGCUCGUGUCGUGAGAUGUUGGGUUAAGUCCCGCAACGAGCGCAACCCUUAUUGUUAGUUGCCAUCAUUCAGUUGGGCACUCUAGCAAGACUGCCGGUGACAAACCGGAGGAAGGUGGGGAUGACGUCAAAUCAUCAUGCCCCUUAUGACCUGGGCUACACACGUGCUACAAUGGGAAGUACAACGAGUCGCGAAGUCGCGAGGCUAAGCUAAUCUCUUAAAGCUUCUCUCAGUUCGGAUUGUAGGCUGCAACUCGCCUACAUGAAGCCGGAAUCGCUAGUAAUCGCGGAUCAGCACGCCGCGGUGAAUACGUUCCCGGGCCUUGUACACACCGCCCGUCACACCACGAGAGUUUGUAACACCCGAAGUCGGUGAG